This is a long non-coding RNA of Lagopus leucura (white-tailed ptarmigan), 1318 nucleotides long. RefSeq lists it as uncharacterized. The transcript has 3 exons. Lineage: Eukaryota; Metazoa; Chordata; Aves; Galliformes; Phasianidae. The record is from RefSeq and is a predicted model, not a curated record.
ACACACAGAUCCUGACUCCAGGAAUGAACUGGAGAGAAAAUGAAGCUGUAUUUUUUGCACGAGAGUACAGACAGAUUAACAGAGCUCUUCCUUUGCCAUGCAUUGGUAGCUCAGGUGCAGAAGCUCCAAAACCAUGCAACAGGGCACGAGGUGCAAAUGCAGCUCCAGUAAAAUGCGCGUCAGCAAUACAGGAGUGAGGUCCCCACCGUCAUCCAACGUCAAGUCUGUGAAUGUUAUUGGUCUUUGGAUGCCAUCAUGGCACUCUUGGAGGAAUUUCUGGACUCAUUCCUGUGACAACUUCAGAGAAGAAAUCUGGGCUCUGCAAGGACCUGAGUUACAUCCUCUGACGGCAACAUCACAGGAAUCAAAUUCAAUCAAGGGAACCCAAAUAACCUAUUUUUAUUCUUGCAACUUCUGGUAAAUUUUAUUUCUGUGACUUGAGGUGAUUAUUUUUCCCUUUUGAUACCAUUUUCAGUGCAUGCCCUUCAUUUCCCCUGUGGAGCCAGCCCAAAUGUCACAGAGACUAUUAAUGGUGUAUACUUAACACACAUACUCACAGUAUGUUCAUUCUCAGGAAGACUAAACAUUAUUGAAAGGUUACAGCAUUUAUUUUGAUGUGUGUCUGUUUAACCAAUUCUAGCAAAUGUUACACAAACACAAAAUGGGCUUUCCUUCCCUGUUCCUCACCAGCCAUCCCAAGCCAUUGAUUUUUAAACAGAAAUCCUUUCUCAAAUCAAUGAGGAAUUUAAAACCUGAUGUCACAUGGCGCAUGGAGACGGUUCAAAUGUACAACAAACAAAUAUGUAAAGAAGAAAGAAAUAUUUCAUCCUUUCUCCCUGUAGCCCUACUGAAGCCCGUUAACAGCUUCAAGCUCACCAGUUUCUACCAGCUUCUGGCUGAUUUCAGGGGCCACGUCUCCAGCAGCAAUAUUAGGAAGAACCAGAAGUUUGGUUUCUCACUGUUUUGAUUCUCAUUUAAUGGACGACAUUUGGAUGGACUUCCUGUGAUUCCUAACGAUUUCAUUGGGACUGAGCAUAACAGUCAAUAAAUGGAGCCCUUCUUGUGGCUGUUCUGAGCAUGGAGAAAACAACAAAUUUGUAAAACAUGAGUUAGAAUUUAAAUUUGCACAAUAUCCCAGCUGCAGUUUGAAGUGGACCUAACACUAUGCAUUCAUCCUCAUCAGCCAUCACUCAACGGCAAAAGUGGGAUUAAUCAUCUCCACUACAGCUACUAACAUUAUUGAUUAUGUGUUAUUUCUAGAGAGUUAAACCCUUAGGGCAAAAACAAAAACAAACAAACAAACAAAAACCAAACCAAA